Carassius gibelio (silver crucian carp) is the source of this 2129-nucleotide long non-coding RNA. RefSeq lists it as uncharacterized. Lineage: Eukaryota; Metazoa; Chordata; Actinopteri; Cypriniformes; Cyprinidae. The record is from RefSeq and is a predicted model, not a curated record. The transcript is spliced from 3 exons.
UUUCCCGAUGCCACCGGGGUGGUGUUGCACUGACGGCUUGAGCCCGCCAUCGCUGCUUGCAGCUAUAUUAUUAGGGCUCAAGCCCAAAGGGCGAGAGGCCUAUUGUUUUCCUUAGGAUUAUUUUUUAUUAUUAUUAUUAUUAUUAUUUUUUUCCAACGUCUCGGGGGCUUUUGGGGCCCUUAACGUGCUUAAAAAGUCUUGAAAAUUGGCACACAGAUUGGAACCUGCGGCCAUUAGGGCCGGGCAGAGACUGAUACACAGGCGUGGCACAGGGGCUCUACAGCGCCCCCUGGAAUAUGGAGGGCCAUAUAUCAUACAUUCUUGCUCGUAGACGUAUGAAUCUCGGUACACAUAUAAAUCUCAUCAAUCCAAACAACUUUUGUAUUGCAUAUCAUAGGCUCCGCCCAACAGGAAGUUGGCUAUUUAGGGUUUAGUAUUCAAAUUUUUCGUCAAAGUUGUGGGGGCUUUUGGGGUCCUUAACAUACUCAAAAACUCUUGAAAAUUUGCGCACACUUUGGAAACUGUGGCCUUUAGGAGCCUGCAGAGGCUGGGACCCGGGCGUGGCACAGGGGCUCUACGGCGCCCCCUGGAACACAGUCAGAAAUGUUGAUGUAUAGCUCACACAUACUUGCACAUAUUCAUAUGAAACUCAGUACACAUAUAGAUCUCAUCGUGCCGAACAACUUUCGUAUUGCAUGUCAUAGGCUCCGCCCAUCAGGAAGUCAGCUAUUUAGAGUUAUGUAAAAAGCGCAUGCUCUGGAAUUUGAAAUACUUGUCAUAGGUUUUUUUCUCGAUUGUCGCCAAACUCGGUCAACAUGAUCUCAAGACACUGGGGAUGAAAAAUUGCCAGGGGAUUUUUGAUAUCUCGAACGGUUUGCUCGUGGCGAGGCGUUGAAAUUAUGGCGAGAAAUGAGAAACAGGAAGUGUCUAAUACCGUCCACAUACAUUUCCUGAUUUUAAUCAAACUUCAUCAGAUUAUUCGUUGUAUGAUGUCGAUCGCAUAUAUGUGACUAUUAGGAGUCAAAGUUAUAGCGCCACCAACUGGCAGAAGGAAGUGUGUCAUUUUCAAAAUGAUUUGAAUUCAGCAUCUUAUUAUUACUCGAUUUGCUUCAAACUUCAUCAGAAUAAUGUUAAAACACAGCCGAUAUAAAUCUGCAAGGGGGAUAUUGAUAUCUAAAAAAUUGUUGGCGUGGCAACAUGUCAAACUGGAAUACUUCUCAGGUGAUUUUGAGGCAAAUAACAUACUUAGAAUUUCACAAAACUCUGAACACACAUCAGUAUUUCUGAUAGGAACUUAAAUUGUGAAUGGAUUUUGGAUAGCUUGAAUGGUUUUGCCGUGGUGAUUUUUUUAAAUGACCUUACAAAGGGAAUCAUUAUUGUAUUUUUAAAUUGCAGCUUCCAAACACGUCAAAUAAUUUUUUCAUACAGAUGAAAAAGUCAUUCUGAGGAAAUAUGCAUAGUUUCACGACUUUACAACACUGUAUGGAUAACAGAAAAUUAAAAAAACUGUCAGACAUCUCAUCUCACUCUGUCCCUCUGUUUGAUUAUAUGUGCUUCAGACUUCCAUUGUCUGAGAGAAAUAGCGCCCCUACAGGUUCAAUUCCCGGACUUUUACUUUCACUUUUAAAUCGGUUAAAAAUACAAACAAAUACUUAGAUUUAAUUCACACUGACAAGCUAAACCAACAUAUCUGAUUAUUACCGGUUCAGGGCUCAUGGAUACAUUAUUUCUGGCCAGAGAUAUGUGAGAAAUAGGAGAGAUGAAUCACCGCUGUGACCACGAGCGUCUGGAGUAAAGAGCUCAGAGAAAACGAAUUUAUUCCUGUUUUAAAGCUUUUAAAAAUAAAUUAUUACAGCGAUAUCACACAAUCAACCAAUUAGAACACACCAAGAGCUAAAUUAAGAUGUUUUUGAACUGUUUGUGUGAAAAUGAAAUAUUUGCAGCUGCCUAUCUGAAAUCACCGCCUCCGAUCAGCGCGUACAGUGUCGAGCUCAAAACAAACGAAUUUAUUCUUGUUUAAGAGCUUUUUUAAAUAAAAUAUUACCACAAAUGCACACAAUAAACCCAUUGUAACACAACAAGAGCUAAAUGCAGGUGUUUGUGACCUGUUUAAGUGUGCAAGACUAUUU